This 1102-nucleotide long non-coding RNA is filed under the name Chrysemys picta bellii (western painted turtle). RNAcentral describes it as "lncRNA (ENSCPBG00000008511.1)". The record is from RNAcentral. Lineage: Eukaryota; Metazoa; Chordata; Testudines; Emydidae.
UGACAGAGGAUGUGGAAAAAGCUAACGGACUCAAUGCUUUUUUUUGACUCUGUCUUCAUGAACAAGGUCAGCUCCCAGAUUACUGCAUUCCGCAGCACAGUCUGGGGAGGAGGUGACCAGCCCUCUGGGGAGAAAGAGGUGGUUCGGGACUAUUUAGAAAAGCUGGACAAGCACAAGUCCAUGGGGCUGCAUCUGAGGGUGCUAAAGGAGUUGGCGGAUGUGAUUGCAGAGCCACUGGCCAUUAUCUUUGAAAACUCAUGGCAAUCGGGGGAGGUCCCGGAUGACUGGAAAAAGGCUAAUGUAGUGCCCAUCUUUAAAAAAGGGAAAAAGGAGGAUCUGGGGAACUACAGGCCAGUCAGCCUCACUUCAGUCCCUGGAAAAACCAUGGAACAGGUCCUCAAGGAAUCAAUUUUGAAGCACUUAGAGGAGAGGAAAGUGAUCAGGAACAGUCAGCAUGGAUUCACCAAGGGCAAGUCGUGCCUGACUAACCUAAUUGCCUUCUAUGACGAGAUAACUGGCUCUGUGGAUGAGGGGAAAGCAGUGGAUGUGUUUUUCCUUGACUUUAGCAAAGCUUUUGAUACGAUCUCCCACAGUAUUCUUGCCAGCAAGUUAAAGAACUACGGGCUCGAUGAAUGGACUAUAAGGUGGAUAGAAAGUUGGCUAGAUCGUCGGGCUCAACGGGUAGUGAUCAGUGGCUACAUUUCUAGUUGGCAGCCGGUAUCAAGCGGAGUGCCCCAAGGGUCGGUCCUGGGGCCGGUUUUGUUCAAUAUCUUCAUUAAUGAUGUGGAGGAUGGCGUGGAUUGCACCCUCAGCAAGUUUGCAGAUAACCCUAAACUGGGAGGCAUGGUAGAUACGCUGGAGGGUAGGGAUAGGAUACAGAGACAAAUUAGAGGAUUGGGCCAAAAUAAAUCUGAUGAGGUUCAACAAGGACAAGUGCAGAGUCCUGCCCUUAGGACGGAAGAAUCCUAUGCACUGCUACAGACUAGGGACCGAAUGGCUAGGCAGCAGUUCUGCAGAAAAGGACCUAGAGGUUACAGUGGCCGAGAAGCUGGAUAUGAGUCAACAGUGUGCCCUUGUUGCCAAGAAGCUAACGGCAUUUUGG